RNAcentral lists this ribosomal RNA (431 nucleotides) under uncultured bacterium. RNAcentral describes it as "partial 16S ribosomal RNA". It matches the Rfam family "Bacterial small subunit ribosomal RNA", at positions 29 to 507 of the family's 1533-position model. The record is from RNAcentral.
AACGAACGCUGGCGGCAGGCUUAACACAUGCAAGUCGAGCGCCCCGCAAGGGGAGCGGCCGACGGGUGCGUAACGCGUGGGAACGUACCUUUUGGUUCGGAACAACUCCGGGAAACUGGAGCUAAUACCGGAUAAGCCCUAACGGGGAAAGAUUUAUCGCCGAAAGAUCGGCCCGCGUCUGAUUAGCUAGUUGGUGAGGUAACGGCUCACCAAGGCGACGAUCAGUAGCUGGUCUGAGAGGAUGAUCAGCCACACUGGGACUGAGACACGGCCCAGACUCCUACGGGAGGCAGCAGUGGGGAAUAUUGGACAAUGGGCGCAAGCCUGAUCCAGCCAUGCCGCGUGAGUGAUGAAGGCCUUAGGGUUGUAAAGCUCUUUUGUCCGGGAAGAUAAUGACUGUACCGGAAGAAUAAGCCCCGGCUAACUUCGUG